UACGUAGGGUGCGAGCGUUGUCCGGAAUUACUGGGCGUAAAGAGCUCGUAGGUGGUUUGUCGCGUUGUCCGUGAAAACUCACAGCUUAACUGUGGGCGUGCGGGCGAUACGGGCAGACUGGAGUACUGCAGGGGAGACUGGAAUUCCCGGUGUAGUGGUGGAAUGCGUAGAUAUCGGGAGGAACACCAGUGGCGAAGGCGGUUACCUGGAGCUUUGCUGACGCUGAUGCGCGAAAGCGUGGGGAGCGAUCCGG
This 253-nucleotide ribosomal RNA is filed under the name uncultured bacterium. Its description in RNAcentral is "partial 16S ribosomal RNA". It matches the Rfam family "Bacterial small subunit ribosomal RNA", at positions 524 to 776 of the family's 1533-position model. The record is from RNAcentral.